RNAcentral lists this ribosomal RNA (229 nucleotides) under Escherichia coli. RNAcentral describes it as "partial 16S ribosomal RNA". It matches the Rfam family "Bacterial small subunit ribosomal RNA", at positions 1 to 226 of the family's 1533-position model. RNAcentral also lists the same sequence under 1 other name. Lineage: Bacteria; Pseudomonadati; Pseudomonadota; Gammaproteobacteria; Enterobacterales; Enterobacteriaceae. The record is from RNAcentral.
AAAUUGAAGAGUUUGAUCAUGGCUCAGAUUGAACGCUGGCGGCAGGCCUAACACAUGCAAGUCGAACGGUAACAGGAAGCAGCUUGCUGCUUCGCUGACGAGUGGCGGACGGGUGAGUAAUGUCUGGGAAACUGCCUGAUGGAGGGGGAUAACUACUGGAAACGGUAGCUAAUACCGCAUAAUGUCGCAAGACCAAAGAGGGGGACCUUCGGGCCUCUUGCCAUCGGAU